GUCCCCAUCGUCUAGUCAGGCCCAGGACAUUGCCCUUUCAAGGCAACGACGCGGGUUCGAAUCCCGCUGGGGACGCCA
RNAcentral lists this transfer RNA (78 nucleotides) under Myxococcales bacterium. RNAcentral describes it as "tRNA-Glu". It matches the Rfam family "tRNA". Rfam says of the family: Transfer RNA (tRNA) molecules are approximately 80 nucleotides in length. Their secondary structure includes four short double-helical elements and three loops (D, anti-codon, and T loops). Further hydrogen bonds mediate the characteristic L-shaped molecular structure. tRNAs have two regions of fundamental functional importance: the anti-codon, which is responsible for specific mRNA codon recognition, and the 3' end, to which the tRNAs corresponding amino acid is attached (by aminoacyl-tRNA synthetases). tRNAs cope with the degeneracy of the genetic code in two manners: having more than one tRNA (with a specific anti-codon) for a particular amino acid; and 'wobble' base-pairing, i.e. permitting non-standard base-pairing at the 3rd anti-codon position. The record is from RNAcentral. Lineage: Bacteria; Pseudomonadati; Myxococcota; Myxococcia; Myxococcales.